This 274-nucleotide ribosomal RNA is filed under the name uncultured bacterium. RNAcentral describes it as "partial 16S ribosomal RNA". It matches the Rfam family "Bacterial small subunit ribosomal RNA", at positions 523 to 796 of the family's 1533-position model. The record is from RNAcentral.
AUACAGAGGGUGCAAGCGUUAAUCGGAAUUACUGGGCUUAAAGCGCGCGUAGGCGGCUUGGUCAGUCGGAUGUGAAAGCCCCGGGCUUAACCUGGGAAUUGCAUUCGAUACUGCCGAACUAGAGUAUGGUAGAGGGAAGUGGAAUUUCCGGUGUAGCGGUGAAAUGCGUAGAUAUCGGAAGGAACACCAGUGGCGAAGGCGACUUCCUGGGCCAAUACUGACGCUGAGGUACGAAAGCGUGGGGAGCGAACGGGAUUAGAAACCCUAGUAGUCC